Molecule: long non-coding RNA, 291 nt
Filed under: Nicotiana benthamiana
Lineage: Eukaryota; Viridiplantae; Streptophyta; Magnoliopsida; Solanales; Solanaceae
Description: long non-coding RNA (NBEN_LNC017066)
Source: RNAcentral
CAUAAGUUCACAAUCGAUUGUCAAGCAGCUGACUUAAACAUAAUCGAUUAUCAUAAGUACAUAAUCGAUUAUCUUAGUCCAGAUUCUAGAGGCAUAUUUAAAAAUCAUUUUGACUAAAGUAAAUAUGCAUUAUUUAAAAUCAUUUUUCUCUUAAUUAAAUAUGCAUGAUUUGUUAAAAAUAUUUUUAGGAGAGAAGCCAGGUCUUGAGUUUAAGUUGUCAGAUCAAGAUCACAAUUAAAUACCGACUCAUAUAAAACUUAAUCUCGAUCUUUGUCUUGUGCUUGAAUCUCG